GUAUCCUUAGCUCAGCUGGAUAGAGCAACAGCCUUCUAAGCUGUAGGUCAUGAGUUCGAAUCUCGUAGGAUACACCA
RNAcentral lists this transfer RNA (77 nucleotides) under Rickettsiales bacterium. RNAcentral's name for it is "tRNA-Arg". It matches the Rfam family "tRNA". From Rfam's summary of the family: Transfer RNA (tRNA) molecules are approximately 80 nucleotides in length. Their secondary structure includes four short double-helical elements and three loops (D, anti-codon, and T loops). Lineage: Bacteria; Pseudomonadati; Pseudomonadota; Alphaproteobacteria; Rickettsiales. The record is from RNAcentral.